This 433-nucleotide ribosomal RNA is filed under the name uncultured bacterium. RNAcentral describes it as "partial 16S ribosomal RNA". It matches the Rfam family "Bacterial small subunit ribosomal RNA", at positions 29 to 507 of the family's 1533-position model. The record is from RNAcentral.
AACGAACGCUGGCGGCAUGCCUAACACAUGCAAGUCGAACGAGACCUUCGGGACUAGUGGCGCACGGGUGCGUAACGCGUGGGAACCUGCCCUUAGGUUCGGAAUAACUCCCCGACAGGGGUGCUAAUACCGGAUAAUGUAUUCGGAUCAAAGAUUUAUCGCAUUUGGAUGGGCCCGCGUUGGUUUAGCUAGUUGGUAGGGUAAAAGCCUACCAAGGCGACGAUCCAUAGCUGGUCUGAGAGGAUGAUCAGCCACACUGGGACUGGGACACGGCCCAGACUCCUACGGGAGGCAGCAGUGGGGAAUAUUGGACAACGGGCUAAAGGCUGAUCCAGCAAGGCCGCGUGAGUGAUGAAGGCCUGAGGGUUGUAAAGCUCUUUUACCCGGGAUGAUAAUGACAGUACCGGGAGAAUAAGCACCGGCUAACUCCGUG